This 468-nucleotide ribosomal RNA is filed under the name uncultured bacterium. RNAcentral describes it as "partial 16S ribosomal RNA". It matches the Rfam family "Bacterial small subunit ribosomal RNA", at positions 28 to 507 of the family's 1533-position model. The record is from RNAcentral.
GACGAACGCUGGCGGCGUGCUUAACACAUGCAAGUCGAACGGCAAGGCCCUGCUUUUGUGGGGUUCCCGAGUGGCGAACGGGUGAGUAACACGUGAGUAACCUGCCCUUGACUUUGGGAUAACUUCAGGAAACUGGGGCUAAUACCGGAUAGGAGCCCCUGUUGCAUGGUGGGGGUUGGAUCGUUUCGGCGGUGGGGGAUGGAUGCGCGGCUUAUGAGCUUGCUGGUUGGGUAGUGGCUUACCAAGGCAUUGACCGGUAGCCGGCCUGAGAGGGUGGCCGGGCACAUGGGGACUGAGAGACGGCCCAGACUCCUACGGGAGGCAGCAGGGGGAAGUAUUGCACAGUGGGCGGAAGCCUGAUGAGGCGGCGCCGGGUGCGGGAUGACGGCCUGCUGGGUGUAAACAGCUGUCGCCUGUGACGAAGCGGGAGUGACGGUAAUGAGUAAAGAAGCACCGGCUAACUACGUG